UCUUCGCUUCACUCACACACGCCAAUUCGAACUGAAGUUUCGUAUUUUCUCUCUCCUCUUCCUCUACCUCUACCUCCUACCUCGUGCUCGAAUUGCAGAAGCUCGUUUCAGAACUAGUUGGAUGCCUCGAAAACCACGAAGAAGUGGCCAGUUGGUACCUCGGCCUUUUGCAUUCUCUCCAUUUGCUCGCGCAGUCACUAGAGCUGCAACAGCUUUCUCAUCGAAGAACAAAGUUUCAAAUUCGAAAUGUGACAGAAUGUCUUCAUCCAAGUUAUUAGCUGAUGGGACUAGAAAGCACAGUUUGAGAGAAGAAGAUCCAGAAUUCGAAUCAUCUGGAGAAGAACAAGAGGCAUCUGAAGAAAUUGUCCAGGCAGAUUUUGCCUUUUUUGACCCAAAGUCUGAUGACUUUCAUGGAGUGAAGACAUUGCUACAGAGCUAUCUUGAUGAUACAGAGUGGGACUUGAGUGGUUUUGUAGACAUAAUUCUGGCGCAAACAACAGUUGGCACUGUAAUCAAGAUAGAGGAUGAUGAAGAUGAGGGAUUGUUUGCAGUUCUUACAGCUUUGAACUUGGGAAGAUAUAAGGAUUUGAAGUGUAUUACUGAAGUUAAAGACUACUUGCUUAAAGCAUGUGAGGAAAAGAGUUUAGUUGGUGAGCUAAAAGGACUCCUAGAAGACCAAGCCAAGCAUGUUGGUCUAGUUGUUUCCCAGCGUGUCAUGAAUCUUCCUCCCCAACUUCUGCCACAUUUUUACGAUGCCCUUUUUGAUGAAAUUUCAUGGGCUACAGAAGAUGAGCCAACAGAAGAUCUCCGUAAAUCAUUUCGCUUCAAACAUUACCUGCUGGUCACGAAAAUAUACAAGAGGAUUGCACAAACUAGGAAGGGAUCUACUAGUAGAAAUGACGAAGAUAUAAUAUAUGUAAAGCCAGAAGAUGAACUUUUCUAUGAGCUUUGUUCGUGGUCCUUUACUUUCCCCUUGCACAUUCAGCCGCCAACAACUCAAGAGUUGAGAAACUAUCGGCUCAUAGGACUGGUUAUGGCUGUAAAGGCGGAUAAAGCACCAGCAUUCCGACAAAAAUUGCGAUCUCUAAUAGACGACUCUUGAGAUCAAUCUUAGCCUACAGUUAGUACUUCAUGUGUUCCUCAAUAGUUGCAAGACUUGCAACCAAUGCACAACUUAAGCCAUCAGUAUCUUCAAAUAUUCAUUAGUAAAAUUUCUUAGAAGGUCCGUCGGGAGCAUGGUGAUGCCAGAACUGUUCUUCAGCAAACAGAUUAAAUACACAGGACAUCUUUCCUGUUAUUUCUUGUAUCCUUGGAUGAGUUUGCUGGAUGGUUGCUAUGCAUUUUUGCCGAAGUUUUUAGUCUUAUGUUACUUAAACAUUGACCCAUGAACGAUUUUGUUCAAUCACAAUUUUGUUUAUCCAAAUUUUCGCAUUUCUAUUUGUAAAAGCAUACACUUCUGUAGUUCUAUCACACAAAAGAGCAUGUAUCCUAUGAACUUUGUUUUGGUAAAAAAUGGUGUAAAAUUCUUGUA
This is an RNA transcript of Beta vulgaris subsp. vulgaris (sugar beet), 1531 nucleotides long. It is a transcript of the gene named protein BCCIP homolog, with no coding region annotated. The record is from RefSeq and is a predicted model, not a curated record. The transcript has 11 exons. Lineage: Eukaryota; Viridiplantae; Streptophyta; Magnoliopsida; Caryophyllales; Amaranthaceae.